UACGUAGGUGGCGAGCGUUAUCCGGAAUUACUGGGCGUAAAGCGCGCGCAGGCGGUUAAAUAAGUUUGGCGUGAAAGCUCCCGGCUUAACUGGGAGAGGUCGUUGAAAACUGUUUAACUUGAGGCAAUGAGAGGGGUACGGAAUUCCAGGUGUAGUGGUGGAAUGCGUAGAUAUCUGGAGGAACACCAGUGGCGAAAGCGGUACCCUGGCAUUGACCUGACGCUCAUGUGCGAAAGCGUGGGGAGCGAACGGGAUUAGAUACCCGUGUA
Molecule: ribosomal RNA, 269 nt
Filed under: uncultured prokaryote
Description: partial 16S ribosomal RNA
Rfam family: Bacterial small subunit ribosomal RNA
Source: RNAcentral